AGCACAAGGAACAAAUAGAAAUCACUUUGCAACAGAAUUUUGCUAGGUGGCAAGCAGUGGCUCUUUGUUCCCCUAUGACGUACAAAGGACUUAAAAGUGUUUGAGGAAAAGGAGAAAGCUGGAAAUCACCCCUUCCAACUGGCAGAAAGCUUUGACUCUCAGCCCUGCAAAGCUUUGAAGUCAUGAUACAUCUACAAGUAAAUCUGUCAUUUCUCCUACCCUUGUCUUGCUAGCCUGAGCCUUGAAGAACAGUUUUCACAAAUUUCUCCUCAGCAAAUAGAGAUGAUCUGUGCCCUGCUGCAUGCAAUCUUGUUCGAACUUGCCAGUGGGUUUAAUGUGAGCCUCAUCAGCAGUGGACCUGGAUAAGAAAUUGAGAUCAGCUGUUUCUUCACUCUGAGCCAGUCUGCCCACAACAGUGCUAGCAGUAAGAUGCCCUGACUACAUGAGAGGUAGCUGCUGCCUUGACCAGAGCAUCCUGGUAAGAUCCCCUACAGUAAGACCCAACUAAGAGAUGCGUGACCUCUCUCUGUCUUGUCUCUUGUCUCCUCUGCCCACUGGGUGAUUUUAGCCACAGCAAAACCAUAACAA
This 588-nucleotide long non-coding RNA is filed under the name Apteryx rowi (Okarito brown kiwi). RNAcentral describes it as "lncRNA (ENSARWG00000001501.1)". Lineage: Eukaryota; Metazoa; Chordata; Aves; Apterygiformes; Apterygidae. The record is from RNAcentral.